GACGAACGCUGGCGGUGUGCUUAACACAUGCAAGUCGAACGGUAAGGCCCUUCGGGGUACACGAGUGGCGAACGGGUGAGUAACACGUGGGUGAUCUGCCCUGCACUUCGGGAUAAGCCUGGGAAACUGGGUCUAAUACCGGAUAGGACUCCGGACUGCAUGGUCUGGGGUGGAAAGCUUUUGCGGUGUGGGAUGGGCCCGCGGCCUAUCAGCUUGUUGGUGGGGUGAUGGCCUACCAAGGCGACGACGGGUAGCCGGCCUGAGAGGGUGACCGGCCACACUGGGACUGAGAUACGGCCCAGACUCCUACGGGAGGCAGCAGUGGGGAAUAUUGCACUAUGGGCGCAAGCCUGAUGCAGCGACGCCGCGUGAGGGAUGACGGCCUUCGGGUUGUAAACCUCUUUCAGCAUCGACGAAGCGAAAGUGACGGUAGGUGCAGAAGAAGGACCGGCCAACUACGUGCCAGCCGCCGCGGUAA
RNAcentral lists this ribosomal RNA (478 nucleotides) under uncultured bacterium. RNAcentral's name for it is "partial 16S ribosomal RNA". It matches the Rfam family "Bacterial small subunit ribosomal RNA", at positions 28 to 523 of the family's 1533-position model. The record is from RNAcentral.